GGACGGGGACAACAGUUGGAAACGACUGCUAAUACCCGAUGUGCCGAAAGGUGAAACCUAAUUGGCCUGAAGAAGAGCUUGCGUCUGAUUAGCUAGUUGGUGGGGUAAAGGCCUACCAAGGCGACGAUCAGUAGCUGGUCUGAGAGGAUGAGCAGCCACACUGGGACUGAGACACGGCCCAGACUCCUACGGGAGGCAGCAGUGGGGAAUUUUCCGCAAUGGGCGAAAGCCUGACGGAGCAACGCCGCGUGGGGGAGGAAGGUCUUUGGAUUGUAAACCUCUUUUCUCAAGGAAGAAGUUCUGACGGUACUUGAGGAAUCAGCCUCGGCUAACUCCGUGCCAGCAGCCGCGGUAAUACGGGGGAGGCAAGCGUUAUCC
Molecule: ribosomal RNA, 378 nt
Filed under: Microcystis aeruginosa Mc-NE-B5
Lineage: Bacteria; Bacillati; Cyanobacteriota; Cyanophyceae; Chroococcales; Microcystaceae
Also listed under: 2 other names
Description: bacterial SSU rRNA
Rfam family: Bacterial small subunit ribosomal RNA
Source: RNAcentral